CUUCCAUGUGAGGUUCUGGGGCGAGUUUCGAAAGAAGACAUGACAUUGUAAUAAUCGCUUCAAGAUGGGAGCGCCGCACGACAGGAGCCAGUAACAGUCAGGAAACAGGCCGGACGCUGCGAAAAGAUAAAUAGAAGCAGAGAAAAUGUGCCUCCUGAAUACCGAAACUUUGCGACUCUGACAUCACGGGGAGCACGCCGC
This is a long non-coding RNA of Ornithodoros turicata, 201 nucleotides long. RefSeq lists it as uncharacterized. The record is from RefSeq and is a predicted model, not a curated record. The transcript has 3 exons. NCBI's taxonomy places the organism in Eukaryota, Metazoa, Arthropoda, Arachnida, Ixodida, Argasidae.